UGGUAGAGCGCUGCGUUCGGGACGCAGAGGCCGCAGGUUCAAGUCCUGUCACCUCGACCA
Molecule: transfer RNA, 60 nt
Filed under: Oscillospiraceae bacterium
Lineage: Bacteria; Bacillati; Bacillota; Clostridia; Eubacteriales; Oscillospiraceae
Description: tRNA-Leu
Rfam family: tRNA
About the family: Transfer RNA (tRNA) molecules are approximately 80 nucleotides in length.
Source: RNAcentral